Molecule: ribosomal RNA, 492 nt
Filed under: uncultured bacterium
Lineage: Bacteria
Description: partial 16S ribosomal RNA
Rfam family: Bacterial small subunit ribosomal RNA
Source: RNAcentral
AGUGAACGCUGGCGAUAGGCCUAACACAUGCAAGUCGAACGGCAGCACAGUAAGAGCUUGCUCUUACGGGUGGCGAGUGGCGGACGGGUGAGGAAUACAUCGGAAUCUACUUUUUCGUGGGGGAUAACGUAGGGAAACUAACGCUAAUACCGCAUACGACCUACGGGUGAAAGCAGGGGAUCUUCGGACCUUGCGCGAUUGAAUGAGCGGAUGUCGGAUUAGCUAGUUGGCGGGGUAAAGGCCCACCAAGGCGACGAUCCGUAGCUGGUCUGAGAGGAUGAUCAGCCACACUGGAACUGAGACACGGUCCAGACUCCUACGGGAGGCAGCAGUGGGGAAUAUUGGACAAUGGGCGCAAGCCUGAUCCAGCCAUACCGCGUGGGUGAAGAAGGCCUUCGGGUUGUAAAGCCCUUUUGUUGGGAAAGAAAAGCAGCAGGUUAAUACCCCGCUGUUCUGACGGUACCCAAAGAAUAAGCACCGGCUAACUUCGUG